Molecule: transfer RNA, 69 nt
Filed under: Schistosoma mansoni
Lineage: Eukaryota; Metazoa; Platyhelminthes; Trematoda; Strigeidida; Schistosomatidae
Source: RNAcentral
ACUCAGUAGCUAAGUGGAUAACGUAAUGGCGUUUGAAGCGAACGAUAUUGGGUUCGAGUCCCAAAGUCA